Molecule: ribosomal RNA, 163 nt
Organism: Pan troglodytes (chimpanzee)
Lineage: Eukaryota; Metazoa; Chordata; Mammalia; Primates; Hominidae
Rfam family: Eukaryotic large subunit ribosomal RNA
Source: Rfam
UUUCCCUUAGGAUAGUUGGUGCUCUCCCAAAACCCAACCCACACAGUUUUAUCCAGUAAAGUUAAUAUUAGAGGUCCUGGGGCCAAAAUGAUCUCAACCUAUUCUCAAACUUUAAAUGGGUAAGAUUAUUAUUGUUGUUAUUUUUAUUUAAUUUAAUUAAUUA